CAGCAGCCGCGGUAAUACGAAGGGGGCUAGCGUUGUUCGGAAUUACUGGGCGUAAAGCGCGUGUAGGCGGGUCUUUAAGUCAGAGGUGAAAUGCCAAGGCUCAACCUUGGAACUGCCUUUGAUACUGGAGAUCUUGAGUCCGGGAGAGGUGAGUGGAAUUGCGAGUGUAGAGGUGAAAUUCGUAGAUAUUCGCAAGAACACCAGUGGCGAAGGCGGCUCACUGGCCCGGAACUGACGCUGAGACGCGAAAGCGUGGGGAGCAAACAGGAUUAGAUACCCGCGUAGUCCCUGUCUCUUAUAC
RNAcentral lists this ribosomal RNA (301 nucleotides) under uncultured bacterium. RNAcentral's name for it is "partial 16S ribosomal RNA". It matches the Rfam family "Bacterial small subunit ribosomal RNA", at positions 509 to 807 of the family's 1533-position model. The record is from RNAcentral.